Solanum dulcamara is the source of this 657-nucleotide long non-coding RNA. RefSeq lists it as uncharacterized. The transcript has 5 exons. NCBI's taxonomy places the organism in Eukaryota, Viridiplantae, Streptophyta, Magnoliopsida, Solanales, Solanaceae. The record is from RefSeq and is a predicted model, not a curated record.
UUCAAAAACUAUAAAAGAGACACCAACUGCGCACUUUAGAACUCAUCACCAUCAUUACGCAAGCCAUACGCUUCCGGGGGUACGCUACCGGAUUGCUGAUCUCUACUGUUCCGGUGACUAUAAAAAAGACACCACCUACUUACUUUAUAACUCACCACCAUCAUAUUACGGAAGCCAUACGCUACCGGAUUGCUGAUCUUAACUGUUCCGGUGACGAUGUCCGAUCAAAGCCCUAAAUCAAUUUUCCCGGUGAUCAUCUUCUCAAGGAGAUGGGGAGCAUUAAGCGAAUGUCUGAGGCUAUUUGGAGUUCAAUUCAGUCAGGGGUUAUCUUGUAAGAUUUCGCACAGUUUCGAUGCUGGUGUCCCCAAGGUGUAAUUUACCCUUUCAAAGUUUCAAUAUUCUUUAUCGCACACUCAAUUGGACAGACUUUCGUAAACACCCUCACUGGUAACCAAUCAUAUCGUGUUGAAUUUGCUUCGAAGCCCUUCUCUCUUCUAUGAGUGUUCUUAAUGAUUUCAAGAAUUAAUAACUUGUGCUUAGCUACAUAUUCCCCCCAUCCUUUUCCUCCAAGGUAUUAUCCCUCCUCACAAACGGCAGUAACCGGUAUCUGUUGCUAUCGGCAUUGGGACCUUCUAUAUUAAGGUGGAUGACAAUGGU